Molecule: non-coding RNA, 95 nt
Filed under: Neglectibacter timonensis
Lineage: Bacteria; Bacillati; Bacillota; Clostridia; Eubacteriales; Oscillospiraceae
Description: TPP riboswitch (THI element)
Rfam family: TPP riboswitch aptamer (THI element) (bases 5-87)
About the family: Vitamin B(1) in its active form thiamin pyrophosphate (TPP) is an essential coenzyme that is synthesised by coupling of pyrimidine and thiazole moieties in bacteria. The previously detected thiamin-regulatory element, thi box was extended, resulting in a new, highly conserved RNA secondary structure, the THI element, which is widely distributed in eubacteria and also occurs in some archaea.
Source: RNAcentral
GAACCAGGGGAGCCGGUUGUCCGGCUGAGAGGAAGCAAUGGAACUUCGACCCUUUUAACCUGAUGUGGGUAAUGCCAACGUAGGAAGACGAAAAG